GCUAUCUAGGGCACUGUUUACCCUUUGUCCUCUUCCGAAAACCCUAUUUUCCACUCUCAAAUCUUCUCCAAUCAUCUCCAAACAAUAGAUUACUUCAAUAUCUUGGAGAAAUGGGACCCAAGAGAGCCGUAGCCAAGCGAUCCGGGAGAGUCUCACGAUCUUGUUUAGAGCCUAGGAUAUGUAUCUAGUUCUCAUAUGUAUUUUGUGUUGAUCAUGUAUUUUGAACCUUGAUUGAGGAACAUUGUAUUUGCUUUUGUUUUUGGCAUGAUUGUACUAAAAUGUUCCUAUUUUGAUCAAUAAAGUUUGAAUGUUUGUUAUUGUGUCCUUUUCCAUGUACCUAUUUGAUGAUAACAAAAAGGGGGAGAAGUAAAGAAAGAGUAAUAGGGGAGAAGUAAAGAUAGAGUAAAUAGAGUAACAAAAAGGGGGAGAAGUAAAGAAAGAGUAAUAGGAAAGAAGUAAAGAUAGAGUAAUAAGAGGAGAAGUAAAGAAAGAAAGAGAAAUAAUUUGUAAAACAAAUUGAAAAUCAUAUAGGAAAGCAUUUACAUCCAAGGGGGAGCAAUUUGCAACAAUGAAAAUGAUCAAGUCAAAAAUUUAUAUCAAAUUUCAGAAUUUGGCACAUAUAAUUUCAGAAUUUGGCACGCACCUUUCACACCUCGAUACAUAACCUGAAACUCAUGUUUUAUCUCAAAUUUUUGGAGUUUCAUCUUUAAUGAAUUAUAAAUGAAAGGGGGAGUAAUUCAAAAAGUCAAAUUGGCAACAUUUGAAUGAUAUAGGGGGAGACUUCACUCUUAUAUAUGAAAAGCU
Molecule: long non-coding RNA, 804 nt
Filed under: Phoenix dactylifera (date palm)
Lineage: Eukaryota; Viridiplantae; Streptophyta; Magnoliopsida; Arecales; Arecaceae
Description: long non-coding RNA (PDAC_LNC017911)
Source: RNAcentral